RNAcentral lists this ribosomal RNA (497 nucleotides) under uncultured bacterium. RNAcentral describes it as "partial 16S ribosomal RNA". It matches the Rfam family "Bacterial small subunit ribosomal RNA", at positions 28 to 507 of the family's 1533-position model. The record is from RNAcentral.
GAUGAACGCUGGCGGCGUGCCUAAUACAUGCAAGUCGAGCGAACAGACGAGGAGCUUGCUCCUCGCACGUUAGCCGCGGGGGGGAGAAUAACACGUGGAUAACCUCCCUAUAAGACUGGGAUAAUUUCGGGAAACCGGCGCUUAUACCGGAUAAUAUCUUGAUGCGCGGGGUUGAAUAGUGAAAGACGGCUUUGCUGGCAGUUAUAGAUGGAUAUGCGCCGUAUUAGCUAGUUGGGAAGGUAACGGGUUACCAAGGCAACGAUGCGUAGCCGACCGGCGAGGGGGAUCGGCCACCUGGGAACGGAGACGGGGUCCAGACGCCUACGGGAGGCAGCAGUAGGGAAUCGGCCGCAAUGGGCGGAAGCCUGACGGAGCAACGCGGCGUGAGUGAUGAAGAUCUUCGGAUCGUAAAACUGUGUUACUAGGGAAAAACAAAUGUGUAAGUAACUAUGCACGUAUUGACGGUACCUAAUCAGAAAGCAACGGCUAACUACGUG